AUUGAACGCUGGCGGCAUGCUUUACACAUGCAAGUCGAACGGCAGCGCGGGCUUCGGCCUGGCGGCGAGUGGCGAACGGGUGAGUAAUACAUCGGAACGUGCCCAGUAGUGGGGGAUAGCUCGGCGAAAGCCGGAUUAAUACCGCAUACGACCUGAGGGUGAAAGCGGGGGAUCUUCGGACCUCGCGCUAUUGGAGCGGCCGAUGGCAGAUUAGCUAGUUGGUGGGGUAAAGGCCUACCAAGGCGACGAUCUGUAGCUGGUCUGAGAGGACGACCAGCCACACUGGGACUGAGACACGGCCCAGACUCCUACGGGAGGCAGCAGUGGGGAAUUUUGGACAAUGGGCGAAAGCCUGAUCCAGCAAUGCCGCGUGCGUGAUGAAGGCCUGCGGGUUGUAAAGCACUUUUGGCGGGAACGAAAAGGACUGUGCCAAUACCACGGUUCGAUGACGGUACCCGCAGAAUAAGCACCGGCGAACUACGU
Molecule: ribosomal RNA, 483 nt
Filed under: uncultured bacterium
Lineage: Bacteria
Description: partial 16S ribosomal RNA
Rfam family: Bacterial small subunit ribosomal RNA
Source: RNAcentral